GACGAACGCUGGCGGCGUGCUUAACACAUGCAAGUCGAACGGAAAGGCCCUGCUUUUGUGGGGUGCUCGAGUGGCGAACGGGUGAGUAACACGUGAGUAACCUGCCCUUGACUUUGGGAUAACUUCAGGAAACUGGGGCUAAUACCGGAUAGGAGUUCCUGCUGCUUGGUGGGGGUUGGAAAGUUUCGGCGGUUGGGGAUGGACUCGCGGCUUAUCAGCUUGUUGGUGGGGUAGUGGCUUACCAAGGCUUUGACGGGUAGCCGGCCUGAGAGGGUGACCGGCCACAUUGGGACUGAGAUACGGCCCAGACUCCUACGGGAGGCAGCAGUGGGGAAUAUUGCACAAUGAGCGGAAGCCUGAUGCAGCAACGCCGCGUGCGGGAUGACGGCCUUCGGGUUGUAAACCGCUUUCGCCUGUGACGAAGCGUGAGUGACGGUAAUGGGUAAAGAAGCACCGGCUAACUACGUG
This 468-nucleotide ribosomal RNA is filed under the name uncultured bacterium. RNAcentral's name for it is "partial 16S ribosomal RNA". It matches the Rfam family "Bacterial small subunit ribosomal RNA", at positions 28 to 507 of the family's 1533-position model. The record is from RNAcentral.